This is a long non-coding RNA of Tripterygium wilfordii, 245 nucleotides long. RefSeq lists it as uncharacterized. The record is from RefSeq and is a predicted model, not a curated record. NCBI's taxonomy places the organism in Eukaryota, Viridiplantae, Streptophyta, Magnoliopsida, Celastrales, Celastraceae. The transcript is spliced from 2 exons.
GUGCCUCCGAGUAAGGAUCAGCUGCCAAAACCUCUGCAGUUAACACCAUAACUACGAGAAUGAUGGGGUACAAGAAAUGGAAAAUCUCCAUUGGAACUCGCAGUGGAGAAGGAAGGACAAAUUUUGGAGACCCAGAAAAGUCCUUGAGACGACAGCAGGAGUUGCAGCGAAGAAGGGGAAUGCAAAGAGAGUGAAGACAAGGGUUGCGACAAAAGUUAAGUCUCUUUUUCUGAUUUAUCAGCACC